GGAGUAGGAACAGUGCGUUAAGUACCGAGCGGAUGGGAGGUUGCCGUCGGGCGAAGGCAUUUUCGGAUGCCGCGAUACUGUUACCGCAACCGCCU
RNAcentral lists this non-coding RNA (95 nucleotides) under uncultured Faecousia sp. RNAcentral describes it as "THF riboswitch". It matches the Rfam family "THF (Tetrahydrofolate) riboswitch aptamer". From Rfam's summary of the family: THF riboswitch presents a pseudoknot that joins P1-P2 and the loop of P3 and two THF binding. Lineage: Bacteria; Bacillati; Bacillota; Clostridia; Eubacteriales; Oscillospiraceae. The record is from RNAcentral.